This 512-nucleotide ribosomal RNA is filed under the name uncultured bacterium. Its description in RNAcentral is "partial 16S ribosomal RNA". It matches the Rfam family "Bacterial small subunit ribosomal RNA", at positions 28 to 507 of the family's 1533-position model. The record is from RNAcentral.
GAUGAACGCUGGCGGCGUGCCUAAUACAUGCAAGUCGAACGAAACUUCUUUAUCACCGAGUGCUUGCACUCACCGAUAAAGAGUUGAGUGGCGAACGGGUGAGUAACACGUGGGCAACCUGCCCAAAAGAGGGGGAUAACACUUGGAAACAGGUGCUAAUACCGCAUAACCAUAGUUACCGCAUGGUAACUAUGUAAAAGGUGGCUAUACUACCGCUUUUGGAUGGGCCCGCGGCGCAUUAGCUAGUUGGUAGGGUAAAGGCUUACCAAGGCAAUGAUGCGUAGCCGAAUUGAGAGGUUGAUCGGCCACAUUGGGACUGAGACACGGCCCAAACUCCUACGGGAGGCAGCAGUAGGGAAUCUUCCACAAUGGGCGAAAGCCUGAUGGAACAACGCCGCGUGGGUGAAGAAGGUCUUCGGAUCGUAAAACCCUGUUGUUAGAGAAGAAAGUGCGUGAGAGUAACUGUUCACGUUUCGACGGUAUCUAACCAGAAAGCCACGGCUAACUACGUG